Caenorhabditis briggsae is the source of this 84-nucleotide transfer RNA. It matches the Rfam family "tRNA". From Rfam's summary of the family: Transfer RNA (tRNA) molecules are approximately 80 nucleotides in length. The record is from Rfam. NCBI's taxonomy places the organism in Eukaryota, Metazoa, Nematoda, Chromadorea, Rhabditida, Rhabditidae.
GCAGAGGUAGCCAAAUGGCAAAGGCGGGGGCCUCCGGAACCUGUGGACAAAUAUCCUUUAGGGGUUCGAUUCCCCUCCCUGGCA